Molecule: ribosomal RNA, 303 nt
Filed under: uncultured bacterium
Lineage: Bacteria
Description: partial 16S ribosomal RNA
Rfam family: Bacterial small subunit ribosomal RNA
Source: RNAcentral
AGCAGUCGCCGCGGGAAUACGUAGGUGGCAAGCGUUGUCCGGAAUUAUUGGGCGUAAAGCGCACGUAGGCGGUUAUUCAAGUCAGAGGUGAAAGCCCGGGGCUCAACCCCGGAACUGCCCUUGAAACUAGAUGACUGGAAUCUUGGAGAGGUCAGUGGAAUUCCGAGUGUAGAGGUGAAAUUCGUAGAUAUUCGGAAGGACACCAGUGGCGAAGGCGACUGACUGGACAGGUAUUGACGCUGAGGUGCGGAAGCGUGGGGAGCAAACAGGAUUAGAUACCCGCGUAGUCCCUGUCUCUUAUAA